RNAcentral lists this long non-coding RNA (1594 nucleotides) under Salmo salar (Atlantic salmon). RNAcentral's name for it is "lncRNA (ENSSSAG00000100320.1)". Lineage: Eukaryota; Metazoa; Chordata; Actinopteri; Salmoniformes; Salmonidae. The record is from RNAcentral.
GUAAUUGAGUGGGUGUGCAGGUGAGAGUUUCCACUUAAUAGGUUGCCUCUCCUGUGCUGUCACUAGGAAGAACAGAGGGUAGUGACACUGGGAGAAAAGGAGAGCGGAGAGACGGAGAGAGAGAGAGGCUCUACACAUCAUCCGCAGCUGAUACAGACAGUUUCAUCCUCAGACUUUUGCUCAACGCUACACACGGACUGGACUAAGGGCUCCUACUCCCUCCAGAAGACUAUGGCCUCAACUGCUUUUUUUAAAGACACAGGCCUCCUGCUCUUCUUACUACUGGGACUGCAGCCAUCGUCAUUUGUUUCAGGACAAAACACAAACUCAAGUUCCAAUUCAACGACCAAUGCUUCAUCAACUGUGAUGUCAACUGGCAUGAGUACUGACUCUGCAGCAACUAUCGUGACAGCUACCACAGCUCAAACUACAAUGUCGUCUGCCAUUUCUUCUACGAAUACUACAAUGUCUUCUGCAGGGUUGGGUAGUGGAACCACAAGCACGGACAAUACCACUUCAUGGGGCACCAGUGGCAUGACCAUGCUUCAGAGGCAUCACCCAAGUGGGUGCUACUCGUUAGUUGUGGAGGAGGACUAAGUCCAGGCUACAGAGAUGUUGAGCUGAGGACGACAUCAGGGCCAGCAAGCCAACUGCAUCAUCUGGCAUUGAUCAUCUGGCAUCACCAUCAUCAAAUCAUCUAGCCUAACUCCAGUGGUUUGUCAGAAGCCCCAGUCUCUGUCAUAAGCGGGUACACUCUGUUGUGACGGAACUCUCAGAGCUGGCUUCAUCACCAUCAACAUCAAUUUCUUUGUUUUAUUAAUCUACCUAAUUGUUAUGUCAAUUUACAUUUUUCCUUUUUAUCUGUUGACCUAUUCUGCAAUUCAGCUUUUAGCUGCAAAUGUAUAGCCUGCAAGAUUAAAUGAACCAAUGAAACAAUAUAGCCUUCAUAUACUGUCUAACAAUGUAUCCCACUCAUUAUCUAAAUUUCAUUGAUACACUGUAACCUGAUUCAUUUUCUCCAGCAGAGAAACAGGUCAUACUGUAUCAGUUGACAAGUCACAUAGAAAAGGUGAUCUUGUACAAUGUUGCAUGGGGCAGAAAUGGGCAUUCACACACAGUGCUACACAAAUACCUUUUUACUGUAGGCUGCUGUUUUACAAUACGUUCUACCCUGAUAUCUGAUUAUUUAUUUUACUUAUGUACAGUAUAAGGAUACUGCAACUGAUAAAAAAAUUGGUUUCCCAUAAACUUUGCCGUCAAGUUAUAGCUAAACACUCUAUGGAAAAUGGUACUUACCAUUAUUUACCGUCUACCAUCUACUAAAAAGAACAGCUUUGAAAAUUGUAUCUAGUAUUUUUUGCUGUUGGAUUAAAUGUUAGUUAAAAUGACUUAACGGUGAGUCUGUCAUUAUCUGAUGUAUAGGUGACUAAAGGAAAUGUUCUUAUGGUAUUUCAUGAAAAACUUUUGCAUGUAUGACUCAGAGGUUAAAUAUGUAUUCAACUCCAAUGAAUGCACAAUGAAAGGUUCUGAACAUAAGAUAAUGGGUAUUACUCAGUGUUUUGAAAAUACACCCCCUUACAUCUGAAAAUGUGCC